Molecule: ribosomal RNA, 433 nt
Filed under: uncultured bacterium
Lineage: Bacteria
Description: partial 16S ribosomal RNA
Rfam family: Bacterial small subunit ribosomal RNA
Source: RNAcentral
AACGAACGCUGGCGGCAUGCCUAACACAUGCAAGUCGAGCGAGACCUUCGGGUCUAGUGGCGCACGGGUGCGUAACGCAUGGGAACCUGCCUUUAGGUUCGGAAUAACUCAGAGAAAUUUGAGCUAAUACCGGAUGAUGUCUUCGGACCAAAGAUUUAUCGCCUUUAGAUGGGCCCGCGUUGGAUUAGCUAGUUGGUGGGGUAAAGGCCUACCAAGGCGACGAUCCAUAGCUGGUCUGAGAGGAUGAUCAGCCACACUGGGACUGAGACACGGCCCAGACUCCUACGGGAGGCAGCAGUGGGGAAUAUUGGACAAUGGGCGAAAGCCUGAUCCAGCAACGCCGCGUGAGUGAUGAAGGCCUUAGGGUUGUAAAGCUCUUUUACCCGAGAUGAUAAUGACAGUAUCGGGAGAAUAAGCUCCGGCUAACUCCGUG